Molecule: ribosomal RNA, 253 nt
Filed under: uncultured bacterium
Lineage: Bacteria
Description: partial 16S ribosomal RNA
Rfam family: Bacterial small subunit ribosomal RNA
Source: RNAcentral
UACGUAGGGUGCAAGCGUUGUCCGGAAUUAUUGGGCGUAAAGAGUUCGUAGGCGGUUUGUCGCGUCCGCUGUGAAAGUCGGGGGCUCAACCCUCGGAUGCCGGUGGAUACUGUCGGGCUCGAGUACGGAAGAGGCGAGUGGAAUUCCUGGUGUAGCGGUGAAAUGCGCAGAUAUCAGGAGGAACACCUAUUGCGAAGGCAGCUCGCUGGGACGUUACUGACGCUGAGGCACGAAAGCUAGGGGAGCAAACAGG